GCGGCUGAGCCAGCAGUACGGCCUCUCCAAGGGCAGCAACGAGGUGCUCCUGGUGAUCGAGGCCUACAAGACGCUGAGGGACAGGGCUCCCUACCCCGCCAGCUUCAUGCUCUCCCAGCUCGCCGGCAGCUACGCUUUCGUGCUCUUCGACAAGUCCACAUCCUCCCUCUUCGUCGCAUCCGUAAGCUCGAUCAUGUCUAGGAAUACAUUUCUACAGUAGCAGGGAGGUUUAUCGUGGCCGUGCUUAUUUCUUGCUAAUUUUGUUGGUCGAUCAGGACCCGGAGGGCAAGGUACAGCUCUUCUGGGGAAUCACCGCCGACGGCUGCGUCGCCUUCUCCGACGACAUCGACCUGCUGAAAGGAUCUUGCGGCAAAUCACUGGCGCCUUUCCCGCAAGGCUGCUUCUACUGGAACGCCCUUGGAGGCCUCAAGUCGUACGAGAAUCCCAAGAACAAGGUGACCGCUGUGCCUGCAGAUGAGGAGGAAAUCUGUGGUACAACCUUCAUGGUAAGUAGUGGCACGUUGAUGAUUAUUACUUACUACUCAGCUGGGAAGGAAUGAAAAUGAUAGUCACGAGAACUUGGCUAAACCUAUCUGAAAUUCUUCCUUGUGCAGGUGGAAGGAUCUACCGUUCUCGCGGCACUUCAGUAGGAGAUUCUCUCGUCUCCGUCGCUGGGCAAAGCAGGCAACACCGGUCGUGUGUAGGUGGUGGUGGUGUAAUAUAAUGCAACAAGGCGCGUGUGCUACUCUCUCUUGUGAUCUUAUGGGAACUGUUCGGUUGUGUAUCUGAUCAUCUGUAUCUCUAGCUCUUCAAAUUCUCGCAGUGGAUUCAAGACCGG
This 838-nucleotide long non-coding RNA is filed under the name Hordeum vulgare. RNAcentral describes it as "long non-coding RNA (HVUL_LNC012521)". The record is from RNAcentral. Lineage: Eukaryota; Viridiplantae; Streptophyta; Magnoliopsida; Poales; Poaceae.